GGCCAGUAGAGGUCAGUCUUCAAAUCCAAGAGAUCACCAGUUUUGUCAAAUCACUCAAGAGCAGUUUGGCAAAACACAUGGAGGGGGAGGGUGGCCAAAGAGUGCACCAUAACCACAACAGACAAUGUCAAAUAAACUUCAGCGUCUCACAUGAAUGUACAAUGGCGGAGUGUUUCUUUAAAGGGCUCUUAUCACUUCUAAGAAAUAGUACCUUUACUUGUUAAUCCAGAUCAGAACAUCAAUAAAUGCACAGGCAUUUAUUGGUCAUCAAUAAACACACAUUGGCAUGUUGCAAUAAAUCAUCAAUGAACACACUAUGGUACAGUCCAGUCCAAUAAUUGUUUCAAUUAUUGUAAAUUCUGCCACCAUCUACAUAUUGUUCCUGUGUCACUGUGUAAUUGUCUCAAUUAUUGUAAAUUCCCCCCCCCCCUUCAUAAUAUUUUAAAUCGCUGAGGAAUUAUUUGGCGCUAUAUAACUACCAAUGAUAAUAAUAACUUGCUCUAUCUUCCUGCUUUUAUUCAUAGCAAUCAUUACUGUGGGAUCGCCUGGCACCCAGACCGGGUACCUCCACCAAUCGAUGCUUCCUUAGUGCUUACCGAGUACCACAAGCACCGCACAAGACACCAUCAGCACCGCAGUCCCCACUUCCAGCGUUACAGCUUGGUUGGGGUCUCCCUGUCCUCCAGCCAUCCUGGACCCAAGCCCAGGAUCCAGCUUCCAGUGGGUAGACCUCUCCUCCAAGCGAGUGAUUAUAAUCCCAGGGGAGUAUAGUGAUACAGCAAUCCCCAGGGUAGAUACAGCCGUUUCCCCCACACAUGAGAUGAGACUCUAUGUUGAGGAUAAGCAGGAACUCCUUUAUUGGCAGCCACAACUGGCCUUAUUUGCAGGUCUCCAUGCAAGGAGCACUGCCCUCUGGACCUGAGAGUAGACUACAAUAAAAACAACCACACAAUGACAUUGGCUCUCAGGUCCAGGACACUCCCAUACACAAAUAAAAUAAUCCCUCCUCUGUGCCUGGAAGAUAAUUGGAUCAGGAACUGUACUAAUCUAAUCCAAUUAUUUCCAAGCACAGAAAAACAUACUUUUUAACAGUACCCCGAAAGUACCCGCAAAACCCAUGGAAACCCCACAAAAGUUACAUCCCCUGAUAGCUCCGAUCCGGGUGACCAACAUAUCCAAAAAUCACCCAUAUCGGUUUAGGGAUUUCCUGGAAGUCAUAGGUUUGACCGCACGCAUGCUAAUGGUCGGUCAAGUUCGGCAAUCUUUUACAGGUUUCUCUGCAAGGCUCAUAGUCUGUGGGCAGGAGGCUGGCAAGCAAGCUCCUCACGUGGGAAGGGGAGUUUGUCACAACUACAUUUUGCAUUUGUCUCUUAAUGUCAUCAUGUAAUCUGUUUGUUGUAUUACUUUUUGUUCCAGUGAAUAAAAUGUGGCACACUCCAGACAGGUGUUAAAUCUACAGAUGAACCCUGUAAGUGCAAAGAAAGAAA
Molecule: non-coding RNA, 1487 nt
Organism: Pelobates cultripes (western spadefoot toad)
Lineage: Eukaryota; Metazoa; Chordata; Amphibia; Anura; Pelobatidae
Source: the annotation of a GenBank genome assembly